Molecule: unclassified non-coding RNA, 338 nt
Filed under: soil metagenome
Description: partial contains 5.8S ribosomal RNA, internal transcribed spacer 2, and large subunit ribosomal RNA
Rfam family: 5.8S ribosomal RNA (bases 1-120)
Source: RNAcentral
GAUGAAGAACUUAGCGAAAUGCGAUAAGUAGUGUGAAUUGCAGAAUUCAGUGAAUCAUCGAAUCUUUGAACGCACAUUGCGCCCCUUGGUAUUCCAUGGGGCAUGCCUGUUCGAGCGUCAUUUACACCCUCAAGCUCUGCUUGGUGUUGGGCGUCUGUCCCGCUGCUUUGCGCGGACUCGCCUCAAAGGUAUUGGCAGCGAUCAUGCCAGCUUCUCGCGCAGCACAUUGCGCUUCUUGAAGUUCUGGUGGAUCAGCGUCCAUUAAGCUUACCUUCAUGACUUGACCUCGGAUCAGGUAGGGAUACCCGCUGAACUUAAGCAUAUCAAUAAGCGGAGGA